UUGUGGAGGAGGACGCCGAAGGUGGGGCUAAUGACUGGGGUGAAGUCGUAACAAGGUAGCCGUACCGGAAGGUGCGGCUGGAUCACCUCCUAACAGGGAGACAACAAAAUGUUUAAUAUUAUUAUUUUGUCACCUUAGGUCGAUCGGUAUCUCACGUUCUUAAUUUAUUAAGGAUUUCAUUUCCUAAGUUUUUCUAGGUCACACCCAUUAUUUUCCUGGGCCAUUAGCUCAGGUGGUUAGAGCGCACCCCUGAUAAGGGUGAGGUCCCUGGUUCAAGUCCAGGAUGGCCCAUAUCUCUAUGUUGGGGGUAUAGCUCAGUUGGUAGAGCGCCUGCUUUGCAAGCAGGAUGUCAGCGGUUCGAGUCCGCUUACCUCCACUGAUUACCACCUCUUCCAUAAUCUGUAGAAAGGAAAAUUUUUGAGUUGUGAUCAAAAUUCUAAACGAAUCUAGCUUCCUAAUGAAACCAUUAAGAUGCUGGACUCAUUGAAUUAAUUUCAUUGUUUUCAGAGAACCUUGACAACUGCAUAGAUUAUUUUUAAAGACAAUAAGCAUCUUUAAUGAUGCAGAUUUAUUAUUUGUGCAAAUGCAUUAAUAACAAUUCUAUUAAGCUGAUGCUUCAAUUAUGAAGUUAUUGGUCAAGCUACAA
RNAcentral lists this unclassified non-coding RNA (646 nucleotides) under uncultured Prochlorococcus sp. RNAcentral describes it as "partial 16S-23S ribosomal RNA intergenic spacer; may also contain 16S ribosomal RNA and 23S ribosomal RNA". The stretch from base 304 to 376 matches the Rfam family "tRNA". The record is from RNAcentral. Lineage: Bacteria; Bacillati; Cyanobacteriota; Cyanophyceae; Synechococcales; Prochlorococcaceae.